GGUUGGCUCAGAAGCAGCCAUCCUUUAAAGAGUGCGUAACAGCUCACUAGUCGAGUGACCCUGCGCCGAAAAUGUACCGGGGCUAAGCCUGAUACCGAAACUGCGGAUUGUAGGAAACUAUAGUGGUAGGGGAGCGUUGUAUACGAGCAGAAGCCGUACCGUGAGGAGCGGUGGAUUGUAUAGAAGUGAGAAUGCCGGUGUGAGUAGCGAGAUGUAGGUGAGAAUCCUACACACCGAAAGCCCAAGGAUUCCAGGGGAAGGUUCGUCCGCCCUGGGUAAGUCGGGACCUAACGCGAGGCCGAAAGGCGUAGUGGAUGGAAAGCAGGCGAAAGAUUCCUGCACCCGUAUAUGGAGCGAAGGAGUGACGGAGACGGAUAGUGUGACCCUCUUAAUGGAUUGAGGGCGAAGCGAAGCGGCUGGUUACCAGGCAAAUCCGGUAACCAUAAGGCUAGAGCGUGACAGGUAAGCGAAAUCUUAGGAAAGUAGCGAAGCACAUGAUGACGGCUUCCAGGAAAAGCUUCUGGCAAUGCAUAUGCGGCCCGUACCAAAACCGACACAGGUGGGCAGGGAGAGAAUCCCGAGGUGAGCGAGAGAACUGUUGCCAAGGAACUCGGCAAAAUGACUCCGUAAGUUAGCGAGAAGGAGUGCUUAAGCAAUUAAGCCGCAGUGAAGAGGCCCAAGCGACUGUUUAACUAAAACACAGCUCUCUGCGAAGUCGCAAGACGAAGUAUAGGGGGUGACACCUGCCCGGUGCUGGAAGGUUAAGAGGAUCUGUUAAGAGCGAUCUGAAGCAGUGAUCCGAAGCCCCAGUGAACGGCGGCCGUAACUAUAACGGUCCUAAGGUAGCGAAAUUCCUUGUCAGGUAAGUUCUGACCCGCACGAAAGGUGUAACGAUUUGGGCGCUGUCUCGGCAGCAGACUCGGUGAAAUCUUAGUACCUGUGAAAAUGCAGGUUACCCGCAACUAGACGGAAAGACCCCAUGGAGCUUUACUGCAGCCUGAUAUUGAAUUCUGGUCAUACAUGUACAGGAUAGGUGGGAGACAAAGAGACGUGCACGCCAGUGUACGAGGAGUCGACGUUGGGAUACCACUCUUGUGUGACCGGGGUUCUAACCUGGUAUCGAGAACAGGUACGGGGAGAGUGUCAGGUGGGCAGUUUGACUGGGGCGGUCGCCUCCCAAAGAGUAACGGAGGCGCCCAAAGGUACGCUCAGAUUGGAUGGAAACCAAUCGUCGAGUGCAAUUGCAGAAGCGUGCUUGACUGUGAGACAGACAAGUCGAACAGGGACGAAAGUCGGGAAUAGUGAUCCGGCGGUGCCGAAUGGAAGGGCCGUCGCUCAACGGAUAAAAGCUACCCUGGGGAUAACAGGCUGAUCUCGCCCAAGAGUUCACAUCGACGGCGAGGUUUGGCACCUCGAUGUCGGCUCAUCGCAUCCUGGAGCUGGAUUCGGUUCCAAGGGUUGGGCUGUCCGCCCAUUAAAGCGGUACGCGAGCUGGGUUCAGAACGUCGUGAGACAGUUCGGUCCCUAUCUGUUGUGGGCGAAGGAGAUCUGCGGAGAGCUGUCCUCAGUACGAGAGGACCGGGAUGGACCUACCGCUGGUGCACCGGUUGUUCCGCCAGGGGCAUAGCCGGGUAGCUAAGUAGGGAAAGGAUAAGCGCUGAAAGCAUCUAAGCACGAAGCCUACUCCAAGAUGAGAUCUCCCAUUCG
RNAcentral lists this ribosomal RNA (1707 nucleotides) under human gut metagenome. RNAcentral describes it as "bacterial LSU rRNA". It matches the Rfam family "Bacterial large subunit ribosomal RNA", at positions 1099 to 2820 of the family's 2925-position model. The record is from RNAcentral.